CUAGAGAUCAAUAAGCGGAGGAAAAGAAACCAACAGGGAUUGCCCUAGUAACGGCGAGUGAAGCGGCAACAGCUCAAAUUUGAAAUCUGGCGCAAGCCCGAGUUGUAAUUUGUAGAGGAUGUUUCUGGCGACGCGCCUUCCGAGUUCCCUGGAACGGGACGCCAUAGAGGGUGAGAGCCCCGUACGGUUGGAUGCCUAGCCUCUGUGAAACUCCUUCGACGAGUCGAGUAGUUUGGGAAUGCUGCUCUAAAUGGGAGGUAUACGUCUUCUAAAGCUAAAUACCGACCAGAGACCGAUAGCGCACAAGUAGAGUGAUCGAAAGAUGAAAAGCACUUUGAAAAGAGGGUUAAAAAGUACGUGAAAUUGUUGAAAGGGAAGCGUUCAUGACCAGACUUGGGCAGGUUGAUCAUCCGUGGUUCUCCGCGGUGCACUCUGCCUGCCCAGGCCAGCAUCAGUUCGCUCCGGGGGAUAAAGGCUCUGGGAAUGUGGCUCCUUCGGGAGUGUUAUAGCCCACUGCGUAAUCCCCUGGGGUGGACUGAGGUUCGCGCUCUGCAAGGAUGCUGGCGUAAUGGUCAUCAACGACCCGUCUUGAAACACGGACCAAGGAGUCGUCUUCGUAUGCGAGUGUUCGGGUGUCAAACCCCUACGCGUAAUGAAAGUGAACGUAGGAGAGAGCUUCGGCGCAUCUCCGACCGAUCCUGAUGUUCUCGGAUGGAUUUGAGUAAGAGCAUACGGGGCCGGACCCGAAAGAAGGUGAACUAUGCCUGUAUAGGGUGAAGCCAGAGGAAACUCUGGUGGAGGCUCGCAGCGGUUCUGACGUGCAAAUCGAUCGUCAAAUAUGGGCAUGGGGGGCGAAAGACUAAUCGAACCUUCUAGUAGCUGGUUUCCGCGAGUA
RNAcentral lists this ribosomal RNA (895 nucleotides) under Clonostachys solani f. nigrovirens. RNAcentral describes it as "LSU rRNA". It matches the Rfam family "Eukaryotic large subunit ribosomal RNA", at positions 36 to 968 of the family's 3401-position model. Lineage: Eukaryota; Fungi; Ascomycota; Sordariomycetes; Hypocreales; Bionectriaceae. The record is from RNAcentral.